AUGCCACCGCCGGUUGGGGAACAAUCAGAAGAGCGAAUUGGGGUGCGAUCGGCCCGAAAAAAAUUUUUAUUAAACAUUUCUGUUUAUUUUUCAUUGGGCAAUUUUUGCCCUGUCGUGUCUAUAUCAAGUGUAACUCGUCCUACAGUUACGGUCCUGCCGGCGUCCAGUGAAGAGAUUUCCAGUAAGCAGACAGCAACACUGAUGUGUGUGGUCAGCAAGGGCUUCCCUUCAGACUGGAGCUUGAGCUGGAAGGUGGAUGGGAACAUCAGGUCUCAGGAGAACAGCGCUGGACUCCUGCAGAAGGACGGUCUGUACAGCUGGAGCAGCAGUCUGACUCUCUCUGAACACGACUGGAUCAAGAGCGUCUCAGUGAGCUGUGAGGCCACACGAGGAGACCAGACAGUCACUGGACAAGUGAAGAGAGAUCAGUGUUCUCAAUAGAUCCUCUGUCUUCUGCUCUCUUCUUCUCAUUCAUGUCUCACAACAGUGGCUUUCUAUUCACAUGUCUUUCGUUCAUUCACUGAUGAGUUUCUUUUGUUAAACUUCAAUAAAAGAGAAAUAAAACUUUA
Non-coding RNA from Triplophysa dalaica, 569 nucleotides. The record is from the annotation of a RefSeq genome assembly. NCBI's taxonomy places the organism in Eukaryota, Metazoa, Chordata, Actinopteri, Cypriniformes, Nemacheilidae.